RNAcentral lists this ribosomal RNA (394 nucleotides) under uncultured bacterium. RNAcentral's name for it is "bacterial SSU rRNA". It matches the Rfam family "Bacterial small subunit ribosomal RNA", at positions 32 to 418 of the family's 1533-position model. The record is from RNAcentral.
AAUCAACGCUGGCGGCGUGCCUCAGACAUGCAAGUCGAACGAUUAAAGCUCUCUUCGGAGAGUGUAUAGAGUGGCGCACGGGUGAGUAACACGUAAGUAAUCUACCUUUGAGUGGGAUAACAGUCGGAAACGACUGCUAAUACCGCAUAAUGCAGCGGCACCGCAAGGUGACAGUUGUUAAAGGAGCAAUUCGCUUAAAGAGGAGCUUGCGGCAGAUUAGCUUGUUGGUAAGGUAACGGCUUACCAAGGCUACGAUCUGUAUCCGGUCUUAGAGGACGGUCGGACACACUGACACUGAAUAACGGGUCAGACUCCUACGGGAGGCAGCAGUCGGGAAUUUUGGGCAAUGGGCGAAAGCCUGACCCAGCAACGCCGCGUGAAGGAUGAAGUAUUU